RNAcentral lists this ribosomal RNA (460 nucleotides) under uncultured bacterium. RNAcentral's name for it is "partial 16S ribosomal RNA". It matches the Rfam family "Bacterial small subunit ribosomal RNA", at positions 338 to 795 of the family's 1533-position model. The record is from RNAcentral.
CCUACGGGUGGCAGCAGUGAGGAAUAUUGGUCAAUGGACGAGAGUCUGAACCAGCCAAGUAGCGUGAAGGAUGACUGCCCUAUGGGUUGUAAACUUCUUUUAUAUGGGAAUAAAAUGUUCCACGUGUGGGAUUUUGUAUGUACCAUAUGAAUAAGGAUCGGCUAACUCCGUGCCAGCAGCCGCGGUAAUACGGAGGAUCCGAGCGUUAUCCGGAUUUAUUGGGUUUAAAGGGAGCGUAGGUGGAUUGUUAAGUCAGUUGUGAAAGUUUGCGGCUCAACCGGAAAAUUGCAGUUGAAACUGGCAGUCUUGAGUACCGGAGAGGUCAUCGGAAUUCCUUGUGUAGCGGUGAAAUGCGUAGAUAUAAGGAAGAACACCAGUGGCGAAGGCGGAUGACUGGACGGCAACUGACGGUGAGGCGCGAAAGCGUGGGGAGCAAACAGGAUUAGAUACCCGUGUAGUC